AGUGAAGCGGGAUGAGCUCAAAUUUAAAAUCUGGCUGGUUUACUAGUCCGAAUUGUAGUUUAUAGAAGCGUUUUCGGUGGCAGCCUGGGUAUAAAUCCUUUGGAAUAGGGUAUCAUAGAGGGUGAGAAUCCCGUCUUUGACUCAGUGCAUGCUACUAUGUGAUACGUUUUCAAAGAGUCGAGUUGUUUGGGAAUGCAGCUCAAAAUGGGUGGUAAAUUUCAUCUAAGGCUAAAUAUUGGCGAGAGACCGAUAGCGAACAAGUACCGUGAGGGAAAGAUGAAAAGAACUUUGAAAAGAGAGUUAAACAGUGCGUGAAAUUGUUGAAAGGGAAACGUUUGACACCAGUUAUGCGGGUGGAAAAUCAGUCUUUUGCAAUGGGGAGUUGUGGGCGUUCAGACCGCAAGGCUGGCGUUUGCUUCAUCUUUGUUGUAAGUGAUGCACUUUUUCAUCUGCAGGUCAACAUCAGUUUGCUUUGCUGGACAAAACCCCAAGGGAAGGUAGCAGCUUAGGCUGUGUUAUAGCCCUGGGGCGAUACAGUGGAGUGGACUGAGGUUUCGCAGUGUGUGCUCUCGGGCAAGGCUGACUGGGUGCUAUGGGAUCGUUCGGCGUACAAUGCAUGCAUUUUGCGUCGUGUCUUUUUCAUACUCGCUCAACUCGGCUCUUCCACGCUUAGGAUGUUGACUUAAUGGUUUUAAAUGACC
RNAcentral lists this ribosomal RNA (701 nucleotides) under Mortierella claussenii. RNAcentral's name for it is "eukaryotic LSU rRNA". It matches the Rfam family "Eukaryotic large subunit ribosomal RNA", at positions 92 to 649 of the family's 3401-position model. Lineage: Eukaryota; Fungi; Mortierellomycota; Mortierellomycetes; Mortierellales; Mortierellaceae. The record is from RNAcentral.